RNAcentral lists this ribosomal RNA (192 nucleotides) under uncultured bacterium. Its description in RNAcentral is "partial 16S ribosomal RNA". It matches the Rfam family "Bacterial small subunit ribosomal RNA", at positions 335 to 524 of the family's 1533-position model. The record is from RNAcentral.
ACUCCUACGGGAGGCAGCAGUGAGGAAUAUUGGUCAAUGGGCGCGAGCCUGAACCAGCCAAGUCGCGUGAAGGAAGAAGGAUCUAUGGUUUGUAAACUUCUUUUACAGGGGGGUAAAGUGAGUGACGAGUCGCUCAUUGCAAGUACCCUGCGAAUAAGCAUCGGCUAACUCCGUGCCAGCAGCCGCGGUAAU